This 81-nucleotide ribosomal RNA is filed under the name Aphanocalyx pectinatus. RNAcentral's name for it is "partial 28S ribosomal RNA". It matches the Rfam family "Eukaryotic large subunit ribosomal RNA", at positions 1 to 78 of the family's 3401-position model. Lineage: Eukaryota; Viridiplantae; Streptophyta; Magnoliopsida; Fabales; Fabaceae. The record is from RNAcentral.
AUGCGACCUUAGCUCAAGCAGGGCUACCCGCUGAGUUUAAGCAUAUUAAUAAGUAGAGGAAAAGAAACUAACAAGGAUUCC